CCACCACCAGCUGCCUUCGGAUCUCCUCUCCACUCACAACGUCUAACCCUUAUCUUCUUGCCCGUCUGCUUCCAGGACCAACCAACGCCGUUUGUGUGUGUGUGUGGUUAGCCCUGUAUCGACGACUAGCCAUGACCUCCCAGAUCCGUCAGAAUUAUUCCACCGAGGUGGAGGCUGCUGUCAACCGACUGGUCAACUUGCAUUUGAGGGCCUCCUACACCUACCUCUCUCUGGGCUACUAUUUCGAUCGAGAUGAUGUGGCCCUGGACGGCGUGGGCCACUUCUUCCGCGAGCUGGCGGAGGAGAAGCGUCCACCGCCUCCUGAACAUGCAGAACCAGUGCGGCAGCCGCGCUGUUCCAGGAUGUGCAGAAGCCUUCUGAAGAUGAGUGGGGUAAAACCGUGGAAGCCAUGGAAGCCGCCAUGAACCUGGAGAAGAACCUGAACCAAGCCAUUCUGUAUCUUCAUGCCUUGGGUUCUGCACGCACAGACCCCCAUCUCUGUGACUUCCUAGAGAACCACUUCCUGGAUGAAAAGGUGACGCUCAUCAAGAAGAUGUGUGACCACCUAACCAACCUCUGCAGGCUGGCUUCUCUUCGAACGUCUCACCCUCAGGCACGACUAGAGGACCCCAGAGUCCAGCAGCCUCUGGAGGCCAUCUGUGUAUCGCGUGACAUCAGGGUUUCCACCUGA
This is an RNA transcript of Perognathus longimembris pacificus (Pacific pocket mouse), 691 nucleotides long. It is a transcript of the gene named ferritin light chain-like, with no coding region annotated. NCBI's taxonomy places the organism in Eukaryota, Metazoa, Chordata, Mammalia, Rodentia, Heteromyidae. The transcript has 2 exons. The record is from RefSeq and is a predicted model, not a curated record.